AGCAGCUAAUGGGGAGGCUCCACACCAUUGAGCCAAUGGAGGUGGGACCCACCUGAGAGCAGAGAGGAGCCCAUGGAGGUGGAUUCAAGGCCUGGGGAAGACCCAGUGGAGGUCGAUCCACCUCCAUCAGGGACAAACCACCAGCAGGCCACCACUCUUCAAGCUGCGUGAGAGGACAUCCAGACCCCAUCCCUACCAUCACAGCAGGGUGGGGUCCUGCCCACCUCCCCCCACGGCUGCCUCAAUGCCAGCGCUGAACAUCCUGUCCUACCUUGAGAGUGUGUGUGUGGAUUCCUGUGUCUUCCCUUGGUCUCCCCAGCAUGGGAAAGACAUGGCCAUAUGGGUGUGGCCCAGGCAAGCCAAAAGCUUGGACACCCAUGCCCUAGAAAGAAUGAACACAUGGUGAGAAGCCCCUUCUUCUGUGGCUUUCUACAGAGUGUUUAAGCUUGGCUAGAAGAAGACAGCAGAUGGGAAAGUUGCAUCAGGAGUGUUUAUUCAAAUGUAGAAACACUUCAGCAAGCGUUUCUCGGCAUCAGAGCUUAAGCUUCCUCAAGUAUAGCUUUUCCCUCUGGUGACAAAGCUGCUACCCUAAGAACCAUGCUGCAGAAGAAGAAAACAAGAAAGAGUACACAAAGCCUGCAUCUUUACCUCAGUUGCUACUUCCACAUGCAUUAUGCCUCCUUUUUAAGUUUCUUCUAAAUGAGCUGACUGGUGGCUAGUAAGAACUUGUGCUUAGGACCCAUCUUGUCUUGAGCUAAUGCUUAGAGACUAAAAGAUACUCUGUAGUUAUUUAUGCAUGUUUUUUUAACACUUUUCUUUACUAGUUCUAUAACUAAAUGUUGUCAAUGCAUUUAAUAUAGAGUAACACAAAGUUCUUUGAGAACACCCAUAGGCCUGUCUUGUCAUUCAGGCUUUGAGGUAUCACCUGUGGUGUUUAAGAAGUCACCUGUUCCACUGGAAGAAAAGUGCUAAUAGCCUGAAGUCCUUAAAAAAAUACAAGCUGGAGAAGUAGGGUUGUGUCUUCCUUUAUAAGCAUUAUAAGAUUAGGCCUUCAAGCAUUUCAUUCUAUUUACAUGUUAUAAACAAAAUAAAGACCCCCCCAAGGAGUCUCACACAACAUGAAGUCUGCAAAAGCAAAACUCCUAUUAAGUUUAUUAAGAAAUUAAGUUUCAAUAGUGAAUUAUAACUUAAGGGGAGAAAAAGGAAGUAAAGUAAUAAGGGAAAGAAAAAGCUACUGAAAAGGGAAACUAGCCUAGCUUCUUACUAAAAAAGGGAAGGACAGAAUAAUGUUUUAAAAGACAGACUGCAUAUAUUUGACAUAAAUCACAUAAAAACUUGAAAGCAUACAGUGAACUUACACAGCUUGUGAUCCUUUUCCUGAGCACUCAUUACUCUCUAAAUAAUGAGUAACUCUAGGGAGAGGGAGCUUCUUUUAUACAGAGCUCUUGAUAUCCUUUGGGAAAUUAAUCAUCAGAAUCAGCUGGGGGCCAUUUGUAAGCGAGUCAGGUUCAGACUUUGCCUCAGGUAAACAGUGAUGAAAUAAUAUUGCAUAAAUGAUUAAAUAAUCUAGAGAAAACCAUAGAUAAAAACUUCAGGUAGCCAAUGGCAGAGAGAGGGGUGAACUCUGAAGAAAUAUCAGGAAAAUUAAUGGUUUGUGCAAAAAACUCUACAAAAUAUGGAGCAGA
Long non-coding RNA from Gallus gallus (chicken), 1685 nucleotides. The record is from Ensembl. NCBI's taxonomy places the organism in Eukaryota, Metazoa, Chordata, Aves, Galliformes, Phasianidae.